AGGAUAGUAAGGGCAUAC
Molecule: ribosomal RNA, 18 nt
Filed under: uncultured Bacillota bacterium
Lineage: Bacteria; Bacillati; Bacillota
Description: uncultured Firmicutes bacterium partial 23S ribosomal RNA
Source: RNAcentral